RNAcentral lists this long non-coding RNA (10059 nucleotides) under Cinara cedri. The record is from RNAcentral. Lineage: Eukaryota; Metazoa; Arthropoda; Insecta; Hemiptera; Aphididae.
AGGAAUCCAUUUUAAGAUAUGAUAACUUUGUUAGAGAACAUCAAAAUUUUGAUUUAAGCUAUAAAGAGUUUAUUGAUUUAGUUAAAUGUCUGUCAGAAGAACUAAAACAACAUAGUGAAAUUGUUGGUGAUUUAGGGCUUUUACAAGUAUAUAUAAUAACUAUAUAAUUACUAAUUUUCUUUCUGAAAUUAUUUAAUUUAAUUAUUUAUAUAUAAAGGCAAGACAAAAGAAACUAUUGGCAAUAUCUGACUCAAAAUGUCAACAAAGUGUACAAUAUGAGUCUCUUGCAAAUAUGGCAGAAAAACUAUACGUCCAAACUUCUCCAGAUGGAAGAGAAAUCAUACGACAACAAAUGAAGUAUGUAUAAAUUAAUUUUAUAUAUAAAUGGUCUAUGAUAUUAAUUUAUUUAAAUUUAAGGGAUUUGAGAAUUUCAUGGGAGUUAGUUUCUGAAAGUUUACAAUCAAGUCUUGAAAAACUAGAAAAUUGCUUAUUGCAGUUUGCAGAGUUUUCACUAUCACAAGAACAAUUAACUAAGUGGCUCAAAAAUAUUGAGCAAGCUAUGCAACAACACACUGAAACAAAAGCCACUUUACAAGAGAAAAAAGCUCAACUUCAGGUACUUGCAUUGUAAAAUCUGCCUAAAAAGAUUAUUUUAUAGUAUAUUAUUAUUUUUAAUCAUAUUUAUUUGGAAAUUAGAACCACGUUGUAAUAAAUCAAGAAAUAUUGUCUCAUCAAACACUUGUACAAUCAGUAUGCGAUAAGGCUCAAGAACUUGUAAAUCAAACUAGGGAUAAUACUUUAAAUACAUAUUUAGAAUCAAUUAAAUACCUAUAUGAAAAAAUUGUUACGAAAUCUAAGGUGAUUUUUUAUUAUAAAUUACAGAUAUUUAGUAAAUUCAAAUUAAAUAAUUUUGUGAUUAACUAGGAGCUAAUGGACUCAUUAGAGCUUUCAGUUCAAAAUCAUUCAGAAUUUAAUCUUGUUUGUCAAAAACUUAGGCUGAUGAUAAAAGAACAACGUGAUAAAAUAAGAGAUAGUGACAACAUUGCUGUUGAAAAAGACAUAAUUGUCAAAAAAAUUAAUAUUUUUAAAGUAAAUAUAUACUGGAAUAUAAAUAAUUUGUGUUCAUAAUUUGAAUAUUAUAAUCCUGUUGUAGGAAAUGAAAACAUCAAAUAUAACAGAAAAUGAUUUACAAAAUCAUCUUGAACAAAUAUUUCAGUUAGUAAGCAAAUCAACUACAAAAAAAGGAAUUAAUGUUAUGAAAAAAGAAAUAUCAAAAAUAGAUAGUGAUAAGUCACAAUUAAUAGUACAACUUGGUAAAUAAUAUUAAAAUUUACUUUUUAUAAUCACCCACACAUAAUAGCUAAAAACAAUUUUUUCACUUAUAGUUAGUGAAUCUUUUAAAAGAUUUAAUCUCAAAAGGCCUGUAAAAAAAACUUACUUAAUUCUUGUAUCCCAUUUAAGAUUUAUUUAUUAUAAAUUUAACUUAUUGAUAUUGAAUUAAUAUAUAUAUUAUUAAAUGUUUAUUAAAUCUCUAAUUAGAUUAGCUUAUAAUUGUUAUUAAUGUAUAAGAUAAGUUUAUAAUAAUAAACUUUGGUUUCAGAUACUAUUAUUGAAAAAAUGGAGGAUAUUUUGGUGCAAUGGACUGAUUUUGAAAAUGAAUUUGAGGAAAUAACAAGUUGGUUCAGAUCAACAGAAUUGCUUAUUAAAGAUCAACAACUACAAGCAACAUUUGAAACCAAGGAAAAUAAAUUCAAACAUUUUACGGAAAAACGAAAUGAAGUAUUACAAUAUGAACCAAAAAUUGAGAAAUUUAUCGAUAAUUCUAAUAAUUUGUUACACACAAGUGGAGUAGAACGUCUAAAACCACUUAUACUUCAAGUAGGAAACCGGUAAGAAAAACAUAAUUAGUUUAAAAAAAAAUGUUUGUAUUAUAAAUUUGUUUAUUGUAAUAUCAAUAAUUAUUUAUGUGUACCAGGUAUCAAUUACUUCUAGUUUUAAGUAAAGAAAUAGUGGCUAAAUGGCAAAACAUUUCUGAUGACCAUAAGAACUUUAAUGAUAAGUUGGCUGAAUUCAAAUUAUGGUUAGAAAUAUUAGAAAAUAAACCUGAUCCAAUUUUGAAUGAUGAUAAUUUAGAUUUAAAUAAAAAAUUAUCACAAUUACAAAGUUUGUAUAGUAGUUCUGAUCAAACAUCAUCAAAAAUUUCAUUUUUAACUUCUUUGGGUGAGAGUUUAUACCCUGAUACAUCUGCUACAGGACGAGAAAUCAUUAGGCAACAACUUACAGAAAUUCGUGAAAGGUAUCUUAAAUAUUUUUAUAUUGUUAAUUUAGAAACAUUUCUACAAAAAAUGUUUAUUGUAACUGAUUUAUUUAUUAUUAACAGAUGGGAUACAUGGGAUGAAAAAAUUAAAACUGCUCAAAAAUCUCUAGGAGUACAAUCCCAACAAUGGAAUAGUUAUCAAGAAACCCUUUUACAAACUAUAAAUUGGUUGGAAAGUGUAGAAAAAGCCAUUGCCUCUAAUCAAACAUCUAUAUGGUCUUCUCUACAAGAAAUAAGAUCAAAACUUUUAAAGCAAAAAGUAAAUAUACAAAAUAAAAUAAAAUAAAAUGCUACUAAUCAAUAUCAAUUAUAUUAUAGGUAAAUAAUUCAUUUUUUUUUUUUUAGGCCACAAUGCAAGAAAUAAACUCUCAUAGUCGGAUGAUUGAAACAAUAUUGGAGAAAGGAAAAACAAUUAAGAAACCUAAAGAUGAAAAUAAUUCAGAAAUAUCAUUGAAGGAUAGAUAUGAUUUAUUACGUGAAAAAAUGAAUAAUUCUAUUUCACAAUUAGAGAAUUACUUAGAAACCUAUCAGCAAUAUCAAGACUUACUUAAAUCAUAUCAAGAUACUCAAAAACAGCUUUGGGAUCAACUUUCAAUAUAUACAGGUUUAUAAAUCAUAAUGUUAUUAUCAUUCUAGAACUUUAAUAAUAAUGUAAAAAUUAAAAUUAUUUUAGAUUAUUCAGGAAAUAAACAAAUUUUAGAAAUGCGAUUGAAUAAAGUUAAUGUUAUACAAACUACUUUUGAUAACAAUAAAACAACUUUAAUGGCAAUGGAACAUUUUAUUGAAAACUUAAAGGAUACAAUUCCACAAAAAGCAAUUGAUAUGAUGUCGAGGGAUCAUACAAAUUUACAGUAAAAAUUUUAAAAAAAGAAGCUAGUUGAAGAUAUAAUUAGAUACACCUAAUUUCAUUAUAGAUUUGAACAAGAAAAGUUCCAGUCAUUGUUAAAUGAUUUAUUAGAUGGUUUACAAAGUAGAAUAGUUCAAUGGGUAGAGUUUGAAAAUUUAAUUCAUCAGUUAGCUUCAUGGCAUAAUGAUACAGAAAAAAAGUUACAAAACUAUUCAGAGAAGGGUACACUUGAAGAAAAAACACAACAAUAUAAUAAAUUUCAGGUAUAAAUUUUAUAUUUAAUUCACACAAAAGAGAAAUACUAGGUUUUAUCUACACUCACACUCAUCAUUAGUGUUAUCUUAAUAUAAAUAUAUAGAUAUUAUGUUUUUAUAUGAUUUAUUAUUAUUACUUAUAAUAAUAUAUAAUUAACAGUGGGUGUAACAUAUGGUGGAUAUUGGUGUUAAAACAUCCCAAAUAUCAGAAAAAUAAACAACUAAUAAUAAAAAUUCCAUUGAUUUAAAAUGUAUUUUAAGUUAUUAACGUAAGAAAUUCUAAUGAGAUCCUUUAUUUUUUCUGAGUCAUAGUUUUGUAUUGUGUCAGUGUUACAAUAUGUAAUUAAAAUAAUAACAAUGAAAUUAAAAUACAAAUGAAUAAUUUAUUAAAUUAAUAGGUAUAAUAAUUUUGUAAAUUAAUAUUAUUAUAGUAUUAUAAAAUUUAGUUUUGAAUUUAAUUUAGGAUUUAGAAAAAGAAAUUAAAGGAAAAUUGAACGCAGUGAAGGAUUUAAUUGCAUAUGGUGAUCAUCUUCAACAAGUAAGAUUUAUUCAAAGAAAAUGAAUAUUGCAUGCACCGUGUUAUUAAUUUUUUUAAUAAGCCAAGUAUAAUUUGACACAAAAAUAUUGUCAAAUAAAACAAAUUAUAUAAUUUCACUUUAAUUUAUAAAUUGUAUAUAAUUGUUUAUAAAAAAAUACUUUUAAGAUUAUUUUAAAUUUAAAAUAUUGAUUAAUGUUAAUUUGUUACUAUGUUAUAGUCAUUAUUGGAUGACAUGAAAAAGAAAGAUUUAAAUGUUGAUAAACUUAUUGAUCAAGCUAAUGAACAAGAGGCAACAGGUGAAGCACGAUUAUCAACCAGAGUCAAACAGAUAUCAUCUCGUUAUCAAUCGAUGCAAACUACCAUUAAAGUAAAAAUAAAUAAUGUUUUAAAUUAGUUAAAAUUAAUUUGUUUUAUAUUAUUUCAGGACAUUUUAAAUAAAUGCCAUGAAUCGAUUAAAAUUCAUCAAGAAUAUAUAGACAAGUAUAAUGAAUGUUCUAUUCAAUUUUCAAACAUUCAAAGUCAAUUUAAAAAUGUCAAUGAACCUCCAUUAUCCUCACAAGCUAUACAUCAAUAUUUAAUUCAGAAAAAUGGAAAAUUAAAUGAAUUGUUAGAUACAAAACCAAAUGUUACAUCUUUGUUGAAUAAUUGUAUUGAAUUAGGAGAAAAAUUAUAUUUGAGUACAUCUAUAUCUGGAAGAGAUGACAUUAAACGUCAGUUAGAAGAACUUCAAAUCCUAUUUGAUACUUUAUAUGAUGAUCUUUUAAAUAUUAAUAGAGAUGUUAAAGAUCAAUUAACUAAAUGGAGUGGAUUUGAAGAGCUAUAUAAUGAAUUAAAUAAAUGGUUCAACAGCACUAAACAAAUAUUAAAUAAAGAUUUAGUGCUUAAAUCUACUUUAGAUGAAAAAAAAAUGCAAUUACAAAUCUAUAGAGACAUGCUACAAGCUACAUUAAAAAGGAAACAAGAUAUUGUGAAAUUACAUGAUCUUACUGACAGAAUGCAAAUGCGAGAAAAUAAUGAUAUUCUUAUAUCUUCUAUGAAUAAACAACAUGAUGACAUUUUAAAACUAAUUCAAGACUUUGUUGAUAAAUAUGAAGCAAUUGUAAAAGACCAUGAACAAUAUACUAAGUCUGUAAUGGAAAUGCAAGAAUGGCUUGACGCAACUCAUAAUACAAUAAUACUCUGGGGUGAUACAAAUUUAGAAAAAAUUUCUUUAUUGAGUAAUUUAGAUCGAAUUAAGGUAAAUAAGAAUUGAAGUUAUUGUCCAUUAUAAAUAUUUCAUACUUAUGAUUAAUUUUGUGUUUAUUAUGUAUAAUCAUAUUUUUCAGAAUUUAUUAUUAAGCCUUACAGAAGAAGAAAAUAGAAUUCAUAAUAUACAAAAACUAGCUGAAAAAGUUAUACCUGGUACAGUGGAAAAUGGACAAGUGAAUAUUAGGGCACAAAUUGACUCAUCACAACAAGAUUGGGAAGGACUUAUUACUACAGUAAAGUAAGAACACAGAUAUAUAAAUAUGUGUAAUGAGUAUGCUCUUUCUUAUAUGUUUUUUAGAAUAUUUUAGUAAUAAUAAUGUAGUUUUAAUUGUACAAAAUAAAAUUGGAACAUUAUUUUUUUUAAUAAAUAUAACUAUAUAGUAUAUAUUAUCUUUAUUAUUCUAUGAAAAAAAUAAAUUAUAUGUUUAGAUCAUCAAUAGAAGCUUUAGAAAAUAAACUUAAUAGUUGGAAUGAAUUUGAUACACUUAAGGAAUCAUGUUUAAUAUGGUUACGAGAAACUGAUUAUAAAAUACAUGCUAUUGAUUUGAAAAACUCAUUACAAGAAAAGAAAACUCAGCUUGAAGAACUUAAGGUUGUUUUAAUAAUUAUAUAAUUUAAAUAUACAAUUUAUAUUAUUAUAUUUUAAUUAUUAUUUAUAAUAAAUAACUAUAUAUAUAUUAAUUAUAGGAUUUACAAGGAGUAAUUCGAGCUAAAGAAUUUGAGAUUGAUUCAAUUACUGAAAAAUCACAAAAUCUGUAUACAAUGUCUAUGUCAAGUAAAAAUUCUCAGAUUACAGAAAUUGUUCAAAAAUUUCAUCAGCUUUCAAUGAAAAUAAAAGUAUUUGUGUUAAUUAUUAUUAAUUUUUAAAUUAUAAUUUAUUGGUUUUUUUUUUUAUAAUUUCAAGGAAUUGGUUGGGAAAUGGCAACAAUUUGUUAACAACCACUUAGAAUUUGAAAGUAGUCUAAGUGAAGCUAUUAUUUGGUUGGAUACUGUUGACGAUAAACUCACAAGUUGUACAGAUUUUAAAUCCACUAGUAAAGCUGAUUUAGAAGAAAAACUCAUUGUCAUCCAAGUAAAUAUAAAAAACUAAUAUUAAUAUAGUUAAAGUAUACAUUUAACUACAUCUAGAACAAUGAUUUAUUUAUUAUAAUUUUGAAGUAUUCAAAUAAAUUUAAAACAUUAGUUUUAAUUCUAUAUAAUAGUUAUUACAGUUAAAAUCUCUAUUAAUGGACACCUCUCAAUAAUGAAUCCUUCCUAAUAGUGAACACUUUUAAAUUCCCCUGCAUAAAUGUAUAUAAUAAGAGUUAUAACCUCUUAAUAGUGGAUGUGGACACUUAGAACUGGUACCAAAAUUAAAAAUUACCUCUUAUAAAUGGACACAAUACAUGUACAUACCGAAAAUGUUUAAGUAAUAAAAAUAUCAUACAUAUUUAUUUUUAUAAAUUUUGUUUAUAUUUUAUGUUAUCUUAAGAGAACGUUAUCUUGCAUUUACUGUUUCAGUGCAACUACCAAGUAACAUACAAAAACAAUGCUUAUGCGGAAUAGGUAAAAACAAGCUUAAUUUUGAUUUUAGAGUAAAAGUACCUAUUAUUAUGAAAUUUAUAAAGAAUAAUAUUUUAGAGAGAAUGUCAUAGAUGUUUUUUGAAUUGUGAAAUAUUAAAAAAUAAAAAAUAAUAAAGGUUUUUGUAUCUUUUAUAUCGAGCUUUAUAUUUUGAAUAAUACAAAAUCCCUAUGAAAUUCCUUCCAAAUAUUGUUCUCUAUAAAUUUAAUUAUACAUACUUUUACUCUAAAAUCAAAAUUAAACUAGUUUUGCUUAUUCUGUGUAAUCAUUGUUUUUGCAUGUUACCUACCCGGUAGUUGAACUGAAAUAGUAUAUGUGAGUAUAACGUUCUCUUAAUGGUUUUCCUAUUCGAUAAAUGACAAAUGGUUUGGUUAUGUGUUCGGUCAUCAGUUGUGUACUAAAAACAUGUACACAAAAAAAGAUUACAGAUUUUUUUUAAUUGUGCAUAAACAUAUAUCAUUUUUAUAUCCACUUUUUAAUACAUGUACCUUCAUAUAUAUAUAUAUAUUUAUUAUGUAUAUAAUAAAUAAUAAAUACAAAUUAAAUUUAAUAUUAAUCAUAUUAUAUCAAUUAAUUAAUAUAUUUCAGUAUAAUAAUAAUACAUUUUUUAUAAAUUAUAAUAAAUAAUACCAAUUUUAAUGUACAUGUAUAUGUAUAGCUAAUUCUCUAUAGCGCCUUCCUAUAAUGAACGUUUUGUAAUUUCUCGUAAAUAUUCACAAUAUAGACUUUUCAUUGUAUAACAUUAAGUAAGAAAACAUAAAAGAUUAAAAAUGUUUUUUCUCAAAACAUUAAAUUUCUUAUGGAUUCUCACUCAAACACAAAAUAAUAUAUUUUAUUAUUGUGAAAAUUAAUUAUAGUAAUUUAUAUUUUAUAUUUUUUAGGAUAUUUUGUUGUACAAAGAUGAUGGUUUUAGUAAAGUGCAAAAUUGUAUUGAAAUAGGCCAGUUAGUUUUAGCGAACACUGCACCUGAAGGACACAAAUCAAUAAAUGAAUCACUUAUAUCUUUACAAGAACAUUGGAGUAGUUUGGCAACAAAGAUGGUUGAAACCAAGGUAAAUACAUAAUAAUAUAUUAUAAUUAGUCAAAAAAUAACAUUUUUGAUUCAUUAAAUUAUAGACGAAUAUUGAUGAAUCGAUUCAACGGUGGUCAGGAUUUUUAGAACAUGUAAAGCAAGUUGGACAAAUAAUAGAUAAAUUUGAAGAAGCAUUACCUGAGUUAGAAGAAUUACAAGGAACUAUGGCUGAAAAAAGGGACCAAUUAGAGAAAUUAAAAGUACAUAUAAUUUUUAUAAAUAAAUAAUAUAAUUUUUAGUACCAUUUAGAGCUAAAUAUAUAUUUAAUUCCAAAUAAGUUAAGAAAUUAUUGGUAAAGUACUGAUGUAUUUCAAAAUGUAUAUUUUAAUCAAUUGAUAAAAUUCUAAUUUUGUUUCUUUUUUCUAUAUAGAACUCUUAAAUUAAAUCUAUUCAAAAUUAUUUAUACUAAAGUGAACUGUAGAUCCUGGUAAAAAUGUAUCUUUAUUUUGGAUUUAAUGAAAAAAUGAGUUCAUAUAAAUUAUAUAUAAUUAAUUUAAUAAUGUUAUAAAUUAAUAAUAAUUGUUAUAAAAAAAGUUAAAAAAGCUAAGGGGGGUAUGCCACUGUUGUUGGUAGGAAGUUGGGAAGAUAGGAUACAUAAAUUUAUUUAAUUUAUAUCUAUAAGGAACAAUAAACUGUUAUUAACGAUAAACAAUACGGAGAGAAGUUUGGUUAUACAUGUUUUGAAAGGCCAUAAUAUUUACAAUUUAAUAUAAAUUACACUCAAUUUUUUUUCCCACUAAGUACAACUUAAAAUGAGAAUCCUGUUAAAUCAUUAAGUAUUUUUGUUUAGUUUAAAAAUUUUAUCCACAUUUGUAGGUUUCUACAAAAUAAAAAUUAGGUUCAAAACUAGUUCAAAUGUUUUUAAAAAUGUAUAGAACAAAGUUCUGGUAGGUUUAGUUAGAGAAAAGGAAGUGUGAUGGGCUGUAGAAGCAAUGAAAAAGAAAAACAUUAAGUCCAAAUAGAGUACCAGUGGAAGUGUGGAAAAUGUUAGGGGAGUUCAGCACAAUAUGCUGGUUAAAAGAUUUGUUUUAAUUAUGUUCUACUAGAAGGAAAAAUACUAGAUGAAUGGAGAGUUUCGUAGUACUUAUAUUUAAUGGGAUAAAAAAGUUAUAAAAAGUAUGAAAAUUAUAAAGAAAUAAAGUUGUUGAAUCAUAGUAUGAAGAUUUGUGAAAGUUUAUAAAAAAAGUGAAUAAAAAGUGAAAUUAUAUAUGGCUUAUAGAUUUAGAGAAGGCAUAUGGCAUUGUACUGACAGUUUUUCUGAUAAUAGAUAAAGUAGUAGGUAGGUACUAGUUUUUACAAAAAAAUAUUAUUAUAAAUAUAGUAAGUUUAUGACAUUUUUAAUUUGCAUUUUCUUAUAUAAAAAUUAUAAGCAUUUGAUUGUUUUUUUUAGCAUUUGGAUGAAAAAGUUCGUUGUGAAAAGUUGGAAAUGGAUUCUUUGAAAUUAAAAGCACACGAGAUGCUAAAAACAGGCCAUCAAAGCAAUGCUGUUGCAGGAACACAAGAAGUAUUUGAUAAGUUUGACAGAAUUUCAGAUAAAGUGAAGGUAAAUUUAUUAUAUGUAGAUAAUUAUUCAAUUUUUUAGUUUUGUGUUUUAAUCAAUUAAAUUUAAUUUUAGAAAUUACUCAACCAACGUGAACAACAAUAUAAAGAUCAUAAAACAUAUAAGGAAGCAUAUGAAGAAUUAUCUAAUUUCUUAAACAGAUCUCGAGACAAAAUACCAUCAUUAAAAGAACGACCACUUAGUGAUAAAUUAGCUAUUGAAAAUGCCAUAAUGCCAUUAGAGGCUCUUUUGAAUAAGAGAGCUCAAGGUGAAUUACUUUUAGAUAAUUUAAAUACAAUUGGAGACAUUAUAACAGCAAGUACUUCUGAAACUGGAGAGAAAAUUAUCAAACAAGAAAUUUCUAUUAUAACUGAAGAAUUAAAAAAAUUAUUUGACGGUAUAUUAAACAAUUAGAUGUAUUAUAUUAUUAUUACUUAGGUAGGUACUGAUUUUUAUUUUUUCCAUUUAGAUAUAUUAUCUCAAAAAGAUAAUCUCCAUGCUAUUCAUACACAUUGGAGAGAGUAUAAAGAUGAGUAUGAAAAGCUUUCUGAUUGGUUGCAACAAAUUGAUAUAUCAAUGAAAGCUAUUAAAAAUACCCCAUUAGCGACUGUAGUGGAAAAAACAGAUCAAGUAGAACAAAUUCAGGUGAACUCCUUUAUAUGUUCCAUAAACUAUUAAUAAA